GCCGGGGUGGCCGAGCGGCCCAAGGCGGCGGGCUUGAGACCCGUUGCCCCGCGAGGGGCGCGCGGGUUCGAAUCCCGCCCCCGGCGCCA
This 89-nucleotide transfer RNA is filed under the name Aeropyrum pernix. It matches the Rfam family "tRNA". Rfam says of the family: Transfer RNA (tRNA) molecules are approximately 80 nucleotides in length. Lineage: Archaea; Thermoproteati; Thermoproteota; Thermoprotei; Acidilobales; Acidilobaceae. The record is from RNAcentral. RNAcentral also lists the same sequence under 3 other names.